CUUAUACUCUCUUCGUCCCAAAUUGUCUUAGAUUUGUCUAGAUAUAGAUGUAUCUAACAUUAAAACGUAACUAGAUACAUCUGUAUUUAGACAAAUUUAAGACAAGAAUUUUAAGACAGAGGAAGUAUUUA
Triticum urartu is the source of this 131-nucleotide non-coding RNA. The record is from Rfam. Lineage: Eukaryota; Viridiplantae; Streptophyta; Magnoliopsida; Poales; Poaceae.